Sycon ciliatum is the source of this 1228-nucleotide long non-coding RNA. RefSeq lists it as uncharacterized. The transcript has 2 exons. Lineage: Eukaryota; Metazoa; Porifera; Calcarea; Leucosolenida; Sycettidae. The record is from RefSeq and is a predicted model, not a curated record.
GCCGCUAAAGACCCACAGAAGGCAAGAAGUUUGCGUUGCAAAGCUGCUGUCCCGCCUGACUGCGGAGAAAGAAGACUCGUUUAUGGUUGUUCUACAGCCGCUGCUGACGUCCAUCAGCUCUGUCCUGCUCCCAGCUGCAGAUAGGCCUGGAUUUCAAUGAGUCGUGUCCCAACUCCGGUGUGAACGAUUUCCCGACGUCAAGACGAAGUGGGGUCAAGUCAUGGGUGUUGCAAGGAAGCUGUCACAAGAUGAUCCGGUAUUGAACGGCUACAGCACAACCGAGAGAACGAAAUGUACGUCGCAAUCAAGCUAUGUCGUUGCCAUCUUCUAUUUGCCAUGCGUUACCUGAUGUGCCAGCCUGCUAUGUCGGAUACCGCUAACCAUGCAUCGACUAGGCGCCAGGCGUGAACUGAUGGUGGUGGUGGUGGUGGUGGUGGUAAGAAGGAGAGCUCUGUGCCAGAAUAACUUUGCAGUUUAGAGAGCGUGUCUGGGCAGGCGUGUAUUUACCCCCAUAUUGCCAGGUGUGUAUUUACCACCAUAUGAACCAACCAUAAGUGCAGUUGCAGUGGAGUCUUCAACUUCAUUCUCCCGAGUCAAGCUCCUUCAUCUAAGAAGAAGAUUGCCUGAUGAGUCCAGCCGGGACGAAAGGUACGUCGCAAUCAAGCUAUGUUGUUGCUGUGUCAUCUGCUAUGCGCCAUACGCUACCUGAUGUACCAACCUGCUAUGUCGGACACCACUCACCCUGCAUCGACUAGGCGCCAGACGCGAACUGAUGAUGGUGGUGGUGGCGGGAAGGAGAGCUCUGUGCCAGAAUAACUUUUCAGUUUAGAGAGCGUGUGUAGGCAGGUGUGUAUUUACCGCCGUAUGAAUCAACCACAGUACGAUCAGCUGACGUUAUAACUUAUAAGGAUGAUCUCGUGCAGCGAUAUUAUUGAUAUUUUUUAAGUCUUUUCUAAGGACUCUCCACUGCAGCGUUUUCUUUCCACUCGGUUCUCUUCUUUUCAUCGCUCAGCUUGCACUUGCAAUGCUUAUACAUACUGAUCAAUCCCGUUCAAUUUUCCGUACGUUUUUCUCAAAAUCCAUAGCGUGGACGAAGUAGUGAUUUUCCGUACAAAUAUGGAAAAUACGGAAGGUUGAUAGCACUGUGUUGAGGCAGCUAUUGUUGACUUUAUUUGGAAUUAAUUCUGUCGUAUUUGCACACAUUCCUGAGUGCAUUGUAUUACUAUUA